UCCCAGGUGGCUCAAUGGUAAAGAAUCUGUCUGCCAAGCAGGAGAUGCAGGUUGGACCCCUGGGUUGGGAA
RNAcentral lists this transfer RNA (71 nucleotides) under Bos taurus (domestic cattle). It matches the Rfam family "tRNA". Rfam says of the family: Transfer RNA (tRNA) molecules are approximately 80 nucleotides in length. Their secondary structure includes four short double-helical elements and three loops (D, anti-codon, and T loops). Further hydrogen bonds mediate the characteristic L-shaped molecular structure. tRNAs have two regions of fundamental functional importance: the anti-codon, which is responsible for specific mRNA codon recognition, and the 3' end, to which the tRNAs corresponding amino acid is attached (by aminoacyl-tRNA synthetases). tRNAs cope with the degeneracy of the genetic code in two manners: having more than one tRNA (with a specific anti-codon) for a particular amino acid; and 'wobble' base-pairing, i.e. permitting non-standard base-pairing at the 3rd anti-codon position. RNAcentral also lists the same sequence under 1 other name. The record is from Rfam by way of RNAcentral. Lineage: Eukaryota; Metazoa; Chordata; Mammalia; Artiodactyla; Bovidae.